GAUGAACGCUGGCGGCGUGCCUAAUACAUGCAAGUCGAGCGAACAGACGAGGAGCUUGCUCCUCUGACGUUAGCGGCGGACGGGUGAGUAACACGUGGAUAACCUACCUAUAAGACGGGGAUAACUUCGGGAAACCGGAGCUAAUACCGGAUCAUAUAUUGAACCGCAUGGUUCAAUAGUGAAAGACGGUUUUGCUGUUUCUUAUAGAUGGAUCCGCGCCGCAUUAGCUCGUUGGUAAGGUAACGGCUUACCAAGGCAACGUUGCUUAGCCGACCUGAGAGGGUGGUCGGCCACCCUGGAUGUGCAACACGGUCCAGACCCCUACGACACGCAGCAGUCGGCACCCCUACGCACAGCCGGCAAACCUGCCGGAGCAACGGGCCUUGAGUGCUAUACGCCUUCGGGUCAUUAUCCUCUGUUCUUAGGGAAGAUCGAAUGUGUACGUCACUAUCCGCGUCUUGACGGUUCCUAGUCAGACAGCCACGGCUAACUCCGUG
RNAcentral lists this ribosomal RNA (497 nucleotides) under uncultured bacterium. Its description in RNAcentral is "partial 16S ribosomal RNA". It matches the Rfam family "Bacterial small subunit ribosomal RNA", at positions 28 to 507 of the family's 1533-position model. The record is from RNAcentral.